AGCUACCAUGCAGUCGAGCGGAACGAGUUAUCAUGAGACCUUCGGGUGGAGACGAUAACGGCGUCGAGCGGCGGACGGGUGAGUAAUGCCUAGGAAAUUGCCCUGAUGUGGGGGAUAACCAUUGGAAACGAUGGCUAAUACCGCAUGAUGCCUACGGGCCAAAGAGGGGGACCUUCGGGCCUCUCGCGUCAGGAUAUGCCUAGGUGGGAUUAGCUAGUUGGUGAGGUAAGGGCUCACCAAGGCGACGAUCCCUAGCUGGUCUGAGAGGAUGAUCAGCCACACUGGAACUGAGACACGGUCCAGACUCCUACGGGAGGCAGCAGUGGGGAAUAUUGCACAAUGGGCGCAAGCCUGAUGCAGCCAUGCCGCGUGUGUGAAGAAGGCCUUCGGGUUGUAAAGCACUUUCAGUCGUGAGGAAGGUAGUGUAGUUAAUAGCUGCAUUAUUUGACGUUAGCGACAGAAGAAGCACCGGCUAACUCCGUGCCAGCAGCCGCGGUAAUACGGAGGGUGCGAGCGUUAAUCGGAAUUACUGGGCGUAAAGCGCAUGCAGGUGGUUUGUUAAGUCAGAUGUGAAAGCCCGGGGCUCAACCUCGGAAUAGCAUUUGAAACUGGCAGACUAGAGUACUGUAGAGGGGGGUAGAAUUUCAGGUGUAGCGGUGAAAUGCGUAGAGAUCUGAAGGAAUACCGGUGGCGAAGGCGGCCCCCUGGACAGAUACUGACACUCAGAUGCGAAAGCGUGGGGAGCAAACAGGAUUAGAUACCCUGGUAGUCCACGCCGUAAACGAUGUCUACUUGGAGGUUGUGGCCUUGAGCCGUGCUUUCGGAGCUAACGCGUUAAGUAGACCGCCUGGGGAGUACGGUCGCAAGAUUAAAACUCAAAUGAA
Molecule: ribosomal RNA, 884 nt
Filed under: Vibrio harveyi
Lineage: Bacteria; Pseudomonadati; Pseudomonadota; Gammaproteobacteria; Vibrionales; Vibrionaceae
Description: bacterial SSU rRNA
Rfam family: Bacterial small subunit ribosomal RNA
Source: RNAcentral